This 507-nucleotide ribosomal RNA is filed under the name uncultured delta proteobacterium. RNAcentral's name for it is "bacterial SSU rRNA". It matches the Rfam family "Bacterial small subunit ribosomal RNA", at positions 35 to 523 of the family's 1533-position model. The record is from RNAcentral. Lineage: Bacteria; Deltaproteobacteria.
GUUAGCGGCGCGCCUAACACAUGCAAGUCGAGCGAGAAAGGGGCUUCGGCCCCGGUAAAGCGGCGCACGGGUGAGUAACACGUAGGUAAUCUGCCCUCGAGUGGUGGAUAACUCUCCGAAAGGGGAGCUAAUACAGCAUAAGACCACGAGUUUCCGAAUUCGCGGUCAAAGCGGGCCUCUCUUUAGAAGCUCGUGCUUGAGGAUGAGCCUGCGGCCCAUCAGCUAGUUGGCGGUGUAAUGGACCACCAAGGCUAAGACGGGUAGCUGGUCUGAGAGGAUGAACAGCCACACUGGAACUGAGACACGGUCCAGACUCCUACGGGAGGCAGCAGUGGGGAAUCUUGCGCAAUGGGGGCAACCCUGACGCAGCGACGCCGCGUGAGCGAUGAAGGCCUUCGGGUUGUAAAGCUCUGUGGAGAGGGACGAAUAAGUGCCACCUAAUACGUUGCAUGAUGACGGUACCUCUUUAGCAAGCACCGGCUAACUCUGUGCCAGCAGCCGCGGUAA